This 709-nucleotide ribosomal RNA is filed under the name uncultured bacterium. RNAcentral describes it as "bacterial SSU rRNA". It matches the Rfam family "Bacterial small subunit ribosomal RNA", at positions 64 to 778 of the family's 1533-position model. The record is from RNAcentral.
GGAUCCAGAUCAAGCUUGCUUUGGUUUGGUGAGAGUGGCGCACGGGUGCGUAACGCGUGAGCAACCUACCCUUGUCAGGGGGAUAGCCCGGCGAAAGUCGGAUUAAUACCGCAUGACAUCAUUGAGAGGCAUCUUUCGAUGAUCAAAGAAUUAUCGGACAAGGAUGGGCUCGCGUGACAUUAGCUAGUUGGUAAGGUAACGGCUUACCAAGGCUGCGAUGUCUAGGGGCUCUGAGAGGAGAAUCCCCCACACUGGUACUGAGACACGGACCAGACUCCUACGGGAGGCAGCAGUAAGGAAUAUUGGUCAAUGGACGGAAGUCUGAACCAGCCAUGCCGCGUGCAGGAGGACUGCCCUAUGGGUUGUAAACUGCUUUUAUACGGGAACAAACGUCGGUACGUGUACCGGUCUGAGUGUACCGUAAGAAUAAGGAUCGGCUAACUCCGUGCCAGCAGCCGCGGUAAUACGGAGGAUCCGAGCGUUAUCCGGAAUUAUUGGGUUUAAAGGGUGCGUAGGCGGCCAAAUAAGUCAGGGGUGAAAGUCGGCAGCUCAACUGUCGCAGUGCCUUUGAUACUGUUUGGCUUGAAUUCGGUUGAAGAUGGCGGAAUGAGACAAGUAGCGGUGAAUGCAUAGAUAUGUCUCAGAACCCGAUUGCGAGGCGGUAUCUAAGCGUUAUUGCGCUGAUGCACGAAGCGUGGGAGCAACAGAU